GUGGGGAAUUUUGGACAAUGGGCGAAAGCCUGAUCCAGCCAUGCCGCGUGCAGGAUGAAGGCCUUCGGGUUGUAAACUGCUUUUGUACGGAACGAAAAGACUCCUUCUAAUAAAGGGGGUCCAUGACGGUACCGUAAGAAUAAGUACCGGCUAACUACGUGCCAGCAGCCGCGGUAAUACGUAGGGUGCAAGCGUUAAUCGGAAUUACUGGGCGUAAAGCGUGCGCAGGCGGUUAUAUAAGACAGAUGUGAAAUCCCCGGGCUCAACCUGGGAACUGCAUUUGUGACUGUAUAGCUAGAGUACGGUAGAGGGGGAUGGAAUUCCGCGUGUAGCAGUGAAAUGCGUAGAUAUGCGGAGGAACACCGAUGGCGAAGGCAAUCCCCUGGACCUGUACUGACGCUCAUGCACGAAAGCGUGGGGAGCAAACAGGAUUAGAAACCCUGGUAGUCC
This 450-nucleotide ribosomal RNA is filed under the name uncultured bacterium. RNAcentral's name for it is "partial 16S ribosomal RNA". It matches the Rfam family "Bacterial small subunit ribosomal RNA", at positions 354 to 796 of the family's 1533-position model. The record is from RNAcentral.